GCGUAGAGAUCGGAAGGAACACCAGUGGCGAAGGCGGCUACCUGGCCUAAUACUGACACUGAGGCACGAAAGCGUGGGGAGCAAACAGGAUUAGAUACCCUGGUAGUCCACGCUGUAAACGAUGUCAACUAGCUGUUGGUCAUAUGAAUAUGAUGAGUGGCGCAGCAAACGCGAUAAGUUGACCGCCUGGGGAGUACGGUCGCAAGAUUAAAACUCAAAUGAAUUGACGG
Molecule: ribosomal RNA, 230 nt
Filed under: uncultured bacterium
Lineage: Bacteria
Description: partial 16S ribosomal RNA
Rfam family: Bacterial small subunit ribosomal RNA
Source: RNAcentral